GUUUUAAUAGUUUAAAUAAAACUUUGGUCUUGUAAACCAAAAAUAGGGUUACCUUUAAAACA
Molecule: transfer RNA, 62 nt
Filed under: Amantis nawai
Lineage: Eukaryota; Metazoa; Arthropoda; Insecta; Mantodea; Gonypetidae
Description: tRNA-Thr
Rfam family: tRNA
About the family: Transfer RNA (tRNA) molecules are approximately 80 nucleotides in length. Their secondary structure includes four short double-helical elements and three loops (D, anti-codon, and T loops).
Source: RNAcentral